UGAAAUUCUCAGGGCAGGGUGAAAGUCCCUACCGGCGGUAUGUCUUUUUAGAUGAGCCCGCGAGCGCUCGAUUCGUCGAGGUCAGCAGAUCUGGUGAGAUGCCAGAGCCGACGGUUAUAGUCCGGAUGAGAGAGAAUGAGU
RNAcentral lists this non-coding RNA (141 nucleotides) under Vibrio ponticus. Its description in RNAcentral is "FMN sequence". It matches the Rfam family "FMN riboswitch aptamer (RFN element)". From Rfam's summary of the family: The RFN element is a highly conserved domain that is found frequently in the 5'-untranslated regions of prokaryotic mRNAs that encode for flavin mononucleotide (FMN) biosynthesis and transport proteins. This element is a metabolite-dependent riboswitch that directly binds FMN in the absence of proteins. The record is from RNAcentral. Lineage: Bacteria; Pseudomonadati; Pseudomonadota; Gammaproteobacteria; Vibrionales; Vibrionaceae.